RNAcentral lists this ribosomal RNA (412 nucleotides) under uncultured prokaryote. RNAcentral describes it as "bacterial SSU rRNA". It matches the Rfam family "Bacterial small subunit ribosomal RNA", at positions 355 to 776 of the family's 1533-position model. RNAcentral also lists the same sequence under 1 other name. The record is from RNAcentral.
UCGAGAAUCAUUCACAAUGGGGGAAACCCUGAUGGUGCGACGCCGCGUGGGGGAGGAAGGUCUUCGGAUUGUAAACCCCUGUCAUGUGGGAGCAAGGCGCAAGCUUGAUAGUACCACAAGAGGAAGAGACGGCAAACUCUGUGCCAGCAGCCGCGGUAAUACAGAGGUCUCAAGCGUUGUUCGGAAUCACUGGGCGUAAAGGGUACGUAGGCGGCAACAUAAGUCGUGCGUGAAAGGCAGGGGCUCAACCUCUGGAGUGCGCAUGAUACUGUGGGGCUAGAGUAAUGGAGAGGGAACCGGAAUUCUUGGUGUAGCAGUGAAAUGCGUAGAUAUCAAGAAGAAGACUCGUGGCGAAGGCGGGUUCCUGGACAUUUACUGACGCUGAGGUACGAAGGCUAGGGUAGCGAAAGGG